CUACGGGUCGCAGCAGUGGGGAAUAUUGCGCAAUGGGCGAAAGCCUGACGCAGCGACGCCGCGUGAGGGAUGAAGGUUCUCGGAUCGUAAACCUUUGUCAGGGGGGAAGAAACCCCCUCGUGUGAAUAAUGCGAGGGCUUGACGGUACCCCCAAAGGAAGCACCGGCUAACUCCGUGCCAGCAGCCGCGGUAAUACGGAGGGUGCAAGCGUUAAUCGGAAUCACUGGGCGUAAAGCGCACGUAGGCGGCUUGGUAAGUCAGGGGUGAAAUCCCACAGCCCAACUGUGGAACUGCCUUGAUACUGCCAGGCUUGAGUACCGGAGAGGGUGGCGGAAUUCCAGGUGUAGGAGUGAAAUCCGUAGAUAUCUGGAGGAACACCGGUGGCGAAGGCGGCCACCUGGACGGUAACUGACGCUGAGGUGCGAAAGCGUGGGUAGCAAACAGGAUUAGAUACCCGAGUAGUC
RNAcentral lists this ribosomal RNA (464 nucleotides) under uncultured bacterium. RNAcentral's name for it is "partial 16S ribosomal RNA". It matches the Rfam family "Bacterial small subunit ribosomal RNA", at positions 339 to 795 of the family's 1533-position model. The record is from RNAcentral.